This 69-nucleotide transfer RNA is filed under the name Gryllotalpa unispina. RNAcentral's name for it is "tRNA-Ser". It matches the Rfam family "tRNA". From Rfam's summary of the family: Transfer RNA (tRNA) molecules are approximately 80 nucleotides in length. Their secondary structure includes four short double-helical elements and three loops (D, anti-codon, and T loops). The record is from RNAcentral. Lineage: Eukaryota; Metazoa; Arthropoda; Insecta; Orthoptera; Gryllotalpidae. RNAcentral also lists the same sequence under 1 other name.
AAUUAAUUAGCUUAAGAAAAGCAUAUGUUUUGAAAACAUAUUAAAGAUGUUAAAUUCAUCUAUUAAUUU